Long non-coding RNA from Patiria miniata (bat star), 475 nucleotides. RefSeq lists it as uncharacterized. The transcript has 3 exons. Lineage: Eukaryota; Metazoa; Echinodermata; Asteroidea; Valvatida; Asterinidae. The record is from RefSeq and is a predicted model, not a curated record.
AGAUAAGACCUGAGUAACUUUUUGCUCUCGAAACUCGUCAAAAGCCUGUUAUCAGAACCACAAGAAGAGGAACAAGGGUUUCAGGUUUUCGUGCUCUUACCAAGAAGACGUUGCUGUUGAUGCUGGAAUGCCCUGAAACUGCACCACUUUGGGACGACAUCAAACACCAGAGAAACUACAUCCAAGGAAAGAUAUACAACCAAGUAGAAACUUAAUCACAGCAGCACAGAGAAGGGCACAGCAGAAACAAAACUUGGAGGAAAAGGAUUGCAUGAAGACCACAAGAGGAACAAAUGAAAGAGGAAUCAAUGGAAACAGAACACAAUACAAGCAGUUUAGUGUACAUGAACAAAACUUUGAGAAAAAGCCGUUUCAAUUCGGGCGAUUCACGAUGCAGUGUGCCAGCAAGAGGCAUAGCGUUCUGCCGCCUUACCAAAAAUCACCAUAUAUGAUCAAAAGAAAAGAAAAGGGCAAA